Podarcis lilfordi (Lilford's wall lizard) is the source of this 70-nucleotide non-coding RNA. NCBI's taxonomy places the organism in Eukaryota, Metazoa, Chordata, Lepidosauria, Squamata, Lacertidae. The record is from the annotation of a GenBank genome assembly.
AUCCAUCUGGGAUAGCUCAGUUGGUAGAGCAUUAAUCACAGGGUUGUGGGUUCAAGCCCCACGUUGGGCA